GGCGCUAUAGCCAAGUGGUAAGGCACGGGGCUGCAACACCCUGACCCCCGGUUCAAAUCCGGGUGGCGCCUCCA
This 74-nucleotide transfer RNA is filed under the name Ruminiclostridium sp. Its description in RNAcentral is "tRNA-Cys". It matches the Rfam family "tRNA". Rfam says of the family: Transfer RNA (tRNA) molecules are approximately 80 nucleotides in length. Their secondary structure includes four short double-helical elements and three loops (D, anti-codon, and T loops). Further hydrogen bonds mediate the characteristic L-shaped molecular structure. tRNAs have two regions of fundamental functional importance: the anti-codon, which is responsible for specific mRNA codon recognition, and the 3' end, to which the tRNAs corresponding amino acid is attached (by aminoacyl-tRNA synthetases). tRNAs cope with the degeneracy of the genetic code in two manners: having more than one tRNA (with a specific anti-codon) for a particular amino acid; and 'wobble' base-pairing, i.e. permitting non-standard base-pairing at the 3rd anti-codon position. Lineage: Bacteria; Bacillati; Bacillota; Clostridia; Eubacteriales; Oscillospiraceae. The record is from RNAcentral.